UUCAUCGACGCAUUGGAUGGUUCCCGGACCGGCGUUUCGGUUCGGGAGUAAAUGGGAAUGUGGAGGAGUGGACCCAAGCCGGGCGCUCUUAUCGCAGCCGACCCCGCGACUGUAGAACGGUCAGGGUUCGCCAUCCGGGAAAGCCGGUGUUUCGGACUGGCCGCCUGACGCGGCCGCGAAAUUUUCAGGCCCAACCGGAAAAGCCACUGGAGAGCAUCACGAUCAGCCGGGGCCGGACGCCUCUAUCUCUACGAAUCGUCCACCUCUUCGUGAUGCCCGUCGAUUGCGGUCACGCAAUCCGGCGCGAAACCUCCGGGAAGGCGAGGCGAACCCGUUCGCGCCCUUGAAGCGCGUGGCACCGUGAGCCAGGAGACCUGCCAUCCGCAGGGCAUCGUG
Molecule: non-coding RNA, 396 nt
Filed under: Rhizobium sp.
Lineage: Bacteria; Pseudomonadati; Pseudomonadota; Alphaproteobacteria; Hyphomicrobiales; Rhizobiaceae
Also listed under: 1 other name
Source: RNAcentral